RNAcentral lists this long non-coding RNA (1016 nucleotides) under Macaca mulatta (Rhesus monkey). Its description in RNAcentral is "lncRNA (ENSMMUG00000044069.2)". Lineage: Eukaryota; Metazoa; Chordata; Mammalia; Primates; Cercopithecidae. The record is from RNAcentral.
GUCCUCAAACUGAUAUUCUGAAGGGAAACUUACUACUUUUGUUUCUUUUCCUGAAUUUGGUCUUCCCAGAGGUUAAGGAUCCUGGUGUCAAAUUGGAACCCAGCCUACUUGACGUUGAAGUCUCCAGAAUAUAGUUUGGUUUCAGGGAAUGUAGCCACCUUGUGGGGUAUCUGGAAGAGGCUUCAUUGAUUGUGACUUUUACUGUGUGCCCAGUUCUGAUAGUCUGGUGUAUUUUCAGAAGAAUGUUGAACGUAAGGCUAAUCAGGGAGAUUUUAAUUUAUUGGGCACUAUAGACAUGAAACUUUUUAAAAGCUGAUGAAAAAAUUUAAAACCUGGAAAAAAUUAUAGGCUACAAAAUAAGAGAAAUACACUGCAAAAUGAAAGUUUCAGAAACAAAAUUAUAAAAAUCCUUUUGCAGUUUAAAGAAAAAUGUUAUAUUUAGGAUGAGAUUGGAUAUGUAUGUAUUAACAUAUUUGAUAUGAUGUGGGAUGGAACUCCAGAGCAGGAAAGGCUCAGCCUAUGAACCUCUUACUAUGGCCCUGCGGCUGGGCAUAUUGAGAGACAGCGAUGGAUACUUCUGGGUUUAAAUAAACACUUUUUCUUUCCUGGAUAAAAGUUUAUUGUUUCUGGUUUGCCUCUUAACAAGAGAUGCUAGUAAUACCAGCUUCGAUCUAAAAACUUCAAUUUCCUAUGACAGCAACUGAACAAUGUCUUGAAAUUCCGUCAUUGUUAGACUGGGUGGGAAAAUUCUAGCUGAACCUGCUUCUUUUAUUAAGAGGAUUGGCCUUUGUGACCUCAGAGAAGAAUUUUGGCAGAACAGAUAUGCUGAUUCUAGUCCUGGUAGCAAUUGCUGGGCUCUCAGCAACUCUUCAUGUGGGCUCUUCCCUUCUCCCUUUCAAAACUUGCAAUUAACCCUGGAAAUGUUAUUUCCAAGAUAUUGACAGAAUGACUUCAAACUCCCGAGCAAAGCACAGGGAGAUGGAUUUCCUAAGAGGUGGAGUGUUUUCUUUAAAAAG